Long non-coding RNA from Culex quinquefasciatus (southern house mosquito), 338 nucleotides. RefSeq lists it as uncharacterized. NCBI's taxonomy places the organism in Eukaryota, Metazoa, Arthropoda, Insecta, Diptera, Culicidae. The transcript has 3 exons. The record is from RefSeq and is a predicted model, not a curated record.
CGGGUCUACCCGGACAUCAACCGCCUAAAGCCAGCAUGUUCUCUUCGAACCAUCCGCUGCAUCCGGGACAUUCUUUGACCAAGUCACAGCAAAUCACCGAUCUCUCUAGCAAGAAGCAGGAACAGCCAACCUCCUCAUCUAACCAGUGAUACGACAACAGGUGGACAGCGCUAGCCAUGCUCAGCAGACAAGUCCCACGGUCACCGAUCUACCAUACGCCCUUCGGGAAAUUGUUGACCUCGAUGGUCCGGCCGCAGUGACAGCUGGUGCUCGUACUACCGGAAUUCCUCGGAAUCGGUUCAAGAACCGCAUCAACUACAAGGGUUCUCUGAUGAGUA